CCUACGGGAGGCAGCAGUGAGGAAUAUUGGUCAAUGGACGAGAGUCUGAACCAGCCAAGUAGCGUGAAGGAUGACUGCCCUAUGGGUUGUAAACUUCUUUUAUAUGGGAAUAAAAUGUUCCACGUGUGGGAUUUUGUAUGUACCAUAUGAAUAAGGAUCGGCUAACUCCGUGCCAGCAGCCGCGGUAAUACGGAGGAUCCGAGCGUUAUCCGGAUUUAUUGGGGUUAACGGGAGCGUAGGUGGAUUGUUAAGUCAGUUGUGAAAGUUUGCGGCUCAACCGUAAAAUUGCAGUUGAAACUGGCAGUCUUGAGUACAGUAGAGGUGGGAGGAAUUCGUGGUGUAGCGGUGAAAUGCUUAGAUAUCACGAAGAACUCCGAUUGCGAAGGCAGUUCACUGGACUGCAACUGACACUGAGGCUCGAAAGUGUGGGUAUCAAACAGGAUUAGAUACCCCUGUAGUA
RNAcentral lists this ribosomal RNA (460 nucleotides) under uncultured bacterium. RNAcentral's name for it is "partial 16S ribosomal RNA". It matches the Rfam family "Bacterial small subunit ribosomal RNA", at positions 338 to 795 of the family's 1533-position model. The record is from RNAcentral.